Non-coding RNA from Camellia sinensis, 182 nucleotides. The record is from RefSeq and is a predicted model, not a curated record. NCBI's taxonomy places the organism in Eukaryota, Viridiplantae, Streptophyta, Magnoliopsida, Ericales, Theaceae.
GCAUUAGAAAGCAUGCAACAGCACUUGUUGCUUCUGGUCUGUUUGAGGAAGCAAUUGACCCUACAGUUGCUUCACAGUGGGAGAGAGCCUUUAAAUGAGGGUAGUUUUGAAAGAAAAUAAAAAAUGGAAAUUCAGAAAAGUGUAUUUGCAGUUGGCAUGAUCUGCUGUGAAGAAGAAGGCCG